This 74-nucleotide transfer RNA is filed under the name Psychrobacter urativorans. RNAcentral describes it as "tRNA-Cys". It matches the Rfam family "tRNA". Rfam says of the family: Transfer RNA (tRNA) molecules are approximately 80 nucleotides in length. Their secondary structure includes four short double-helical elements and three loops (D, anti-codon, and T loops). Lineage: Bacteria; Pseudomonadati; Pseudomonadota; Gammaproteobacteria; Moraxellales; Moraxellaceae. RNAcentral also lists the same sequence under 11 other names. The record is from RNAcentral.
GGCUGGAUAGCAAAGUGGUAAUGCACUGGACUGCAACUCCUUGAUCGUCGGUUCGAUUCCGACUCCAGCCUCCA